CAGCCGCCGCGGUAAUACGGAGGGGGCUAGCGUUGUUCGGAAUUACUGGGCGUAAAGCGCACGUAGGCGGCUUGGUAAGUUAGAGGUGAAAGCCUGGAGCUCAACUCCAGAAUUGCCUUUAAGACUGCCGAGCUAGCAGGUGAGAGAGGUAAGUGGAAUUCCGAGUGUAGAGGUGAAAUUCGUAGAUAUUCGGAAGAACACCAGUGGCGAAGGCGGCUUACUGGCUCAUACUGGACGCUGAGGUGCGAAAGCGUGGGGAGCAAACAGGAUUAGAUACCCCCGUAGUCCCUGUCUCUUAUAA
This 301-nucleotide ribosomal RNA is filed under the name uncultured bacterium. RNAcentral describes it as "partial 16S ribosomal RNA". It matches the Rfam family "Bacterial small subunit ribosomal RNA", at positions 509 to 809 of the family's 1533-position model. The record is from RNAcentral.